AUUGAACGCUGGCGGCAUGCCUUACACAUGCAAGUCGAACGGCAGCGGACCUUCGGGUGCCGGCGAGUGGCGAACGGGUGAGUAAUAUAUCGGAACGUACCUUUCAGUGGGGGAUAACGUAGCGAAAGUUACGCUAAUACCGCAUAUUCUGUGAGCAGGAAAGCAGGGGAUCGCAAGACCUUGCGCUGAUUGAGCGGCCGAUAUCAGAUUAGCUAGCUGGUGAGGUAAAGGCUCACCAAGGCGACGAUCUGUAGCGGGUCUGAGAGGAUGAUCCGCCACACUGGAACUGAGACACGGUCCAGACUCCUACGGGAGGCAGCAGUGGGGAAUUUUGGACAAUGGGCGCAAGCCUGAUCCAGCCAUGCCGCGUGAGUGAAGAAGGCCUGGUUGUAAG
This 394-nucleotide ribosomal RNA is filed under the name uncultured bacterium. RNAcentral describes it as "bacterial SSU rRNA". It matches the Rfam family "Bacterial small subunit ribosomal RNA", at positions 30 to 429 of the family's 1533-position model. The record is from RNAcentral.